RNAcentral lists this ribosomal RNA (887 nucleotides) under uncultured bacterium. Its description in RNAcentral is "bacterial SSU rRNA". It matches the Rfam family "Bacterial small subunit ribosomal RNA", at positions 29 to 916 of the family's 1533-position model. The record is from RNAcentral.
ACGAACGCUGGCGGCGUGCUUAACACAUGCAAGUCGAACGAAGCUUGAUUACGGAUUCUUCGGAUGAAGUAUGAUAUGACUGAGUGGCGGACGGGUGAGUAACGCGUGAGUAACCUGCCCUUCAGAGGGGGAUAGCGUUUGGAAACGAACGGUAAUACCGCAUAAUGUAUUUUGACCGCAUGAUCGAAAUACCAAAGAUUUAUCGCUGAAGGAUGGACUCGCGUCUGAUUAGGUAGUUGGUGGGGUAACGGCCUACCAAGCCGACGAUCAGUAGCCGGACUGAGAGGUUGAUCGGCCACAUUGGGACUGAGACACGGCCCAGACUCCUACGGGAGGCAGCAGUGGGGAAUAUUGCACAAUGGGCGCAAGCCUGAUGCAGCAACGCCGCGUGAAGGAAGACGGUUUUCGGAUUGUAAACUUCUGUUCUUAGUGAAGAAUAAUGACGGUAGCUAAGGAGCAAGCCACGGCUAACUACGUGCCAGCAGCCGCGGUAAUACGUAGGUGGCAAGCGUUGUCCGGAAUUACUGGGUGUAAAGGGAGCGCAGGCGGGUGAUCAAGUCAGCUGUGAAAACUACGGGCUUAACCCGUAGACUGCAGUUGAAACUGUUCAUCUUGAGUGAAGUAGAGGUUGGCGGAAUUCCGAGUGUAGCGGUGAAAUGCGUAGAUAUUCGGAGGAACACCGGUGGCGAAGGCGGCCAACUGGGCUUUAACUGACGCUGAGGCUCGAAAGUGUGGGGAGCAAACAGGAUUAGAUACCCUGGUAGUCCACACUGUAAACGAUGAUUGCUAGGUGUGGGGGGUCUGACCCCUUCCGUGCCGGAGCUAACGCAAUAAGCAAUCCACCUGGGGAGUACGACCGCAAGGUUGAAACUCAAAGGAAUUGACGG